GUAGCGUAUAUUAAAGUUGUUGCAGUUAAAAAGCUCGUAGUUGGAUUUCUGGCAAACCGGGGCGGCCCGUGCUCUUAAUGGGUGCUGUGUGCCGUGUCGUGUUUGUCAUCCUUCCAGAGAGCUACGUCUACCAUUCACUUGGCCGGACGUACGUGAUCUGGAUCGAUUACUUUGAAAAAAUUAGAGUGUUUAAAGCAGGCUUAUGCUGUGAAUACAUUAGCAUGGAAUAAUAAUUUAGGACUUCGGUCCUAUUUUGUUGGUUUCUAGGACAGAAGUAAUGAUUGAUAGGGACAGUUGGGGGUGCUAGUAUUCCGCGGCCAGAGGUGAAAUUCUUGGAUUCGCGGAAGACUAACUACUG
This 358-nucleotide ribosomal RNA is filed under the name uncultured eukaryote. Its description in RNAcentral is "SSU rRNA". It matches the Rfam family "Eukaryotic small subunit ribosomal RNA", at positions 594 to 945 of the family's 1831-position model. The record is from RNAcentral.